This 253-nucleotide ribosomal RNA is filed under the name uncultured bacterium. Its description in RNAcentral is "partial 16S ribosomal RNA". It matches the Rfam family "Bacterial small subunit ribosomal RNA", at positions 524 to 776 of the family's 1533-position model. The record is from RNAcentral.
UACGGGGGGAGCAAGCGUCGUUCGGAUUUACUGGGCGUAAAGGGCGCGUAGGCGGCAGGCCAAGCGUGCGGUGAAAGUCCGGGGCUCAACCCCGGAUCUGCCGUGCGGACUGGUUUGCUAGAGCACUGUAGAGGCGAGUGGAAUUCCGGGUGUAGCGGUGGAAUGCGUAGAGAUCCGGAAGAACACCGGUGGCGAAGGCGGCUCGCUGGGCAGUGGCUGACGCUGAGGCGCGACAGCGUGGGGAGCAAACAGG